UGGGGAAUUUUGGACAAUGGGCGAAAGCCUGAUCCAGCAAUGCCGCGUGUGUGAAGAAGGCCUUCGGGUUGUAAAGCACUUUUGUCCGGAAAGAAAUCCUUGGCUCUAAUACAGUCGGGGGAUGACGGUACCGGAAGAAUAAGCACCGGCUAACUACGUGCCAGCAGCCGCGGUAAUACGUAGGGUGCAAGCGUUAAUCGGAAUUACUGGGCGUAAAGCGUGCGCAGGCGGUUUGCUAAGACCGAUGUGAAAUCCCCGGGCUCAACCUGGGAACUGCAUUGGUGACUGGCAGGCUAGAGUAUGGCAGAGGGGGGUAGAAUUCCACGUGUAGCAGUGAAAUGCGUAGAGAUGUGGAGGAAUACCGAUGGCGAAGGCAGCCCCCUGGGCAAUACUGACGCUCAUGCACGAAGGCGUGGGGAGCAAACAGGAUUAGAUACCCUGGUAGUCCACGCCCUAAACGAUGUCAACUAGUUGUUGGGGAUUCAUUUCCUUAGUAACGUAGCUAACGCGUGAAGUUGACCGCCUGGGGAGUACGGUCGCAAGAUUAAAACUCAAAGGAAUUGACGGGGUCAUAGCUGUUUCCU
This 584-nucleotide ribosomal RNA is filed under the name uncultured bacterium. RNAcentral describes it as "partial 16S ribosomal RNA". It matches the Rfam family "Bacterial small subunit ribosomal RNA", at positions 355 to 1375 of the family's 1533-position model. The record is from RNAcentral.